Non-coding RNA from Mycena rebaudengoi, 91 nucleotides. The record is from the annotation of a GenBank genome assembly. NCBI's taxonomy places the organism in Eukaryota, Fungi, Basidiomycota, Agaricomycetes, Agaricales, Mycenaceae.
UCGAACGUGGUGUAUGGAGCACGGCCUUUCAUCUUUCUGUAGGUCAAACAAAGGUUGAAAGCAAGCCGGGGUUCGACUCCCUGCGUUCGAA